This 427-nucleotide ribosomal RNA is filed under the name uncultured bacterium. RNAcentral's name for it is "partial 16S ribosomal RNA". It matches the Rfam family "Bacterial small subunit ribosomal RNA", at positions 355 to 774 of the family's 1533-position model. The record is from RNAcentral.
UGGGGAAUAUUGGACAAUGGGCGAAAGCCUGAUCCAGCCAUGCCGCGUGUGUGAAGAAGGUCUUCGGAUUGUAAAGCACUUUAAGUUGGGAGGAAGGGCAUUAACCUAAUACGUUAGUGUUUUGACGUUACCGACAGAAUAAGCACCGGCUAACUCUGUGCCAGCAGCCGCGGUAAUACAGAGGGUGCAAGCGUUAAUCGGAAUUACUGGGCGUAAAGCGCGCUUAUGUGGUUUGUUAAGUUGGAUGUGAAAUCCCCGGGCUCAACCUGGGAACUGCAUUCAAAACUGACUGACUAGAGUAUGGUAGAGGGUGGUGGAAUUUCCUGUGUAGCGGUGAAAUGCGUAGAUAUAGGAAGGAACACCAGUGGCGAAGGCGACCACCUGGACUAAUACUGACACUGAGGUGCGAAAGCGUGGGGAGCAAACA